UAGGGAAUAUUGCACAAUGGGCGAAAGCCUGAUGCAGCAACGCCGCGUGCGCGAAGAAGGUCUUCGGAUCGUAAAGCGCUUUUUGGGGAGAUGAGGAAGGACAGUAUCCCCAGAAUAAGGCUCGGCUAACUACGUGCCAGCAGCCGCGGUAAAACGUAGGAGCCAAGCGUUAUCCGAAUUCACUGGGCGUAAAGCGCGUGCAGGCGGUCUGGUAAGUUGGAUGUGAAAUCUCCUGGCUCAACUGGGAGAGGCCGUUCAAUACUGUCAGACUAGAGGGCGACAGAGGGAGGUGGAAUUCCGGGUGUAGUGGUGAAAUGCGUAGAUAUCCGGAGGAACACCAGAGGCGAAGGCGACCUCCUGGGUCGUACCUGACGCUCAGACGCGAAAGCUAGGGGAGCGAACGGG
Molecule: ribosomal RNA, 405 nt
Filed under: uncultured Anaerolineaceae bacterium
Lineage: Bacteria; Bacillati; Chloroflexota; Anaerolineae; Anaerolineales; Anaerolineaceae
Description: bacterial SSU rRNA
Rfam family: Bacterial small subunit ribosomal RNA
Source: RNAcentral